Acanthosepion pharaonis is the source of this 99-nucleotide non-coding RNA. NCBI's taxonomy places the organism in Eukaryota, Metazoa, Mollusca, Cephalopoda, Sepiida, Sepiidae. The record is from the annotation of a GenBank genome assembly.
UGUUGAAACACUGGUUCCCAUAUGAUCACUGAAGUUAAGCAACACUGAUUUGGUCAGUACCUAAAUGGGUAACCACUUUGGAAUACCUGAUGCUGUAAG